AUUGAACGCUGGCGGCAGGCCUAACACAUGCAAGUCGAACGGUAACAGGAAACAGCUUGCUGUUUCGCUGACGAGUGGCGGACGGGUGUGUAAUGUCUGGGAAACUGCUUGAUGGAGGGGGAUAACUACUGGAAACGGUAGCUAAUACCGCAUAACGUCGCAAGACCAAAGAGCGGGACCCUCGGGCCUCUUGCCAUCGGAUUUGCCCAGAUGGGACUAGCUUGUUGGUGGGGUAACGGCUCACCAAGGCGACGAUCCCUAGCUGGUCUGAGAGGAUGACCAGCCACACUGGAACUGAGACACGGUCCAGACUCCUACGGGAGGCAGCAGUGGGGAAUAUUGCACAAUGGGCGCAAGCCUGAUGCAGCCAUGCCGCGUGUAUGAAGAAGGCCUUCGGGUUGUAAAGUACUUUCAGCGGGGAGGAAGGGAGUAAAGUUAAUACCUUGGCUCAUUGACGUUACCCGCAGAAGAAGCACCGGCUAACUCCGUG
Molecule: ribosomal RNA, 490 nt
Filed under: uncultured bacterium
Lineage: Bacteria
Description: partial 16S ribosomal RNA
Rfam family: Bacterial small subunit ribosomal RNA
Source: RNAcentral